Molecule: ribosomal RNA, 511 nt
Filed under: uncultured bacterium
Lineage: Bacteria
Description: bacterial SSU rRNA
Rfam family: Bacterial small subunit ribosomal RNA
Source: RNAcentral
GAUCCUGGCUUAGGAUGAACGCUAGCUACAGGCUUAACACAUGCAAGUCGAGGGGCAGCAUGAGAUUAGCUUGCUAAUCUGAUGGCGACCGGCGCACGGGUGAGUAACGCGUAUCCAACCUUCCCCUUACUCAGGGAUAGCCCGGUGAAAACCGGAUUAACACCUGAUAGUUUCACUAGAUGGCAUCUGACGGUGAAUAAAGCUUUGCGGUAAGGGAUGGGGAUGCGUCUGAUUAGCUUGUUGGCGGGUAACGGCCCACCAAGGCGACGAUCAGUAGGGGUUCUGAGAGGAAGGUCCCCCACAUUGGAACUGAGACACGGUCCAAACUCCUACGGGAGGCAGCAGUGAGGAAUAUUGGUCAAUGGGCGAGAGCCUGAACCAGCCAAGUAGCGUGCAGGAAGACGGCCCUAUGGGUUGUAAACUGCUUUUGUACGGGAAUAAAGUCAUCCACGUGUGGAUGUUUGCAUGUACCGUAAGAAUAAGGACCGGCUAAUUCCGUGCCAGCCGCAGC